AUACGGAGGAUCCGAGCGUUAUCCGGAUUUAUUGGGUUUAAAGGGUGCGCAGGCGGGAGAUUAAGUCGGCGGUGCAAUUUUUCAGCUCAACUGUAAACGUGCCUUCGAAACUGGUUUCCUUGAGUGUAGAUGAAGGAGGCGGAAUUUGGGGGGUAGCGGUGAAAUGCUUACAUAUCACGAGGAACUCCGAUUGCGCAAGCAACAUACUAAACUACUACUGACGCUCAGGCACGAAGGCGUGGGGAUCAAACAGGAUUAGAUGCCCUUGUAGUCCACGCAGUAAACGAUGAUUACUAGCUGUUUGCGAUACAAUGUAAGCGGCUGAGCAAAAGCGUUAAGGAAUCCACCUGGGGAGUUCGUUCGCAAGAAUGAAACUCAAAGGAAUUUACGGGG
This 393-nucleotide ribosomal RNA is filed under the name uncultured bacterium. Its description in RNAcentral is "partial 16S ribosomal RNA". It matches the Rfam family "Bacterial small subunit ribosomal RNA", at positions 523 to 918 of the family's 1533-position model. The record is from RNAcentral.